Molecule: ribosomal RNA, 207 nt
Filed under: uncultured bacterium
Lineage: Bacteria
Description: partial 16S ribosomal RNA
Rfam family: Bacterial small subunit ribosomal RNA
Source: RNAcentral
CACGCAGGCGGUUUUUUAAGUCAGAUGUGAAAGGUACCGGCUCAACCGGUGACAUGCAUUUGAAACUGAAAGACUUGAGUAUUGGAGAGGCAAGUGGAAUUCCUUGUGUAGCGGUGAAAUGCGUAGAUAUAAGGAGGAACACCGGUGGCGAAGGCGGCUUUCUGGACUGUAACUGACGCUGAGGCACGAAAGCGUGGGGAGCAAACA